UUAAGCGACUAAGCGUACACGGUGGAUGCCCUGGCAGUCAGAGGCGAUGAAGGACGUGCUAAUCUGCGAAAAGCGUCGGUAAGGUGAUAUGAACCGUUAUAACCGGCGAUGUCCGAAUGGGGAAACCCAGUGCAAUUCGUUGCACUAUCGUUAACUGAAUACAUAGGUUAACGAGGCGAACCGGGGGAACUGAAACAUCUAAGUACCCCGAGGAAAAGAAAUCAACCGAGAUUCCCCCAGUAGCGGCGAGCGAACGGGGAGCAGCCCAGAGUCUGAAUCAGCUUGUGUGUUAGUGGAACGGUCUGGAAAGUCCGACGGUACAGGGUGAUAGUCCCGUACACCAAAAUGCACAGGCUGUGAACUCGAAGAGUAGGGCGGGACACGUGGUAUCCUGUCUGAAUAUGGGGGGACCAUCCUCCAAGGCUAAAUACUCCUGACUGACCGAUAGUGAACCAGUACCGUGAGGGAAAGGCGAAAAGAACCCCGGCGAGGGGAGUGAAAAAGAACCUGAAACCGUGUACGUACAAGCAGUGGGAGCACCUUCGGGUGUGACUGCGUACCUUUUGUAUAAUGGGUCAGCGACUUAUAUUCUGUAGCAAGGUUAACCGUAUAGGGGAGCCGCAGGGAAACCGAGUCUUAACUGGGCGUUAAGUUGCAGGGUAUAGACCCGAAACCCGGUGAUCUAGCCAUGGGCAGGUUGAAGGUUGGGUAACACUAACUGGAGGACCGAACCGACUAAUGUUGAAAAAUUAGCGGAUGACUUGUGGCUGGGGGUGAAAGGCCAAUCAAACCGGGAGAUAGCUGGUUCUCCCGAAAGCUAUUUAGGUAGCGCCUCGUGAAUUCAUCUUCGGGGUAGAGCACUGUUUCGGCUAGGGGGUCAUCCCGACUUACCAACCCGAUGCAAACUACGAAUACCGAAGAAUGUUAUCACGGGGAGACACACGGCGGGUGCUAACGUCCGUCGUGAAGAGGGAAACAACCCAGACCGCCAGCUAAGGUCCCAAAGUCAUGGUUAAGUGGGAAACGAUGUGGGAAGGCACAGACAGCCAGGAUGUUGGCUUAGAAGCAGCCAUCAUUUAAAGAAAGCGUAAUAGCUCACUGGUCGAGUCGGCCUGCGCGGAAGAUGUAACGGGGCUAAACCAUGCACCGAAGCUGCGGCAGCGACACUAUGUGUUGUUGGGUAGGGGAGCGUUCUGUAAGCCUGCGAAGGUGACCUGUGAGGGUUGCUGGAGGUAUCAGAAGUGCGAAUGCUGACAUAAGUAACGAUAAAGCGGGUGAAAAGCCCGCUCGCCGGAAGACCAAGGGUUCCUGUCCAACGUUAAUCGGGGCAGGGUGAGUCGACCCCUAAGGCGAGGCCGAAAGGCGUAGUCGAUGGGAAACAGGUUAAUAUUCCUGUACUUGGUGUUACUGCGAAGGGGGGACGGAGAAGGCUAUGUUAGCCGGGCGACGGUUGUCCCGGUUUAAGCAUGUAGGCUGGUUAUCCAGGCAAAUCCGGAUAAUCAAGGCUGAGGUGUGAUGACGAGGCACUACGGUGCUGAAGUAACAAAUGCCCUGCUUCCAGGAAAAGCCUCUAAGCAUCAGGUAACAUUAAAUCGUACCCCAAACCGACACAGGUGGUCAGGUAGAGAAUACCAAGGCGCUUGAGAGAACUCGGGUGAAGGAACUAGGCAAAAUGGUGCCGUAACUUCGGGAGAAGGCACGCUGGUGUGUAGGUGAAGUCCCUGCGGAUGGAGCUGAGACCAGUCGAAGAUACCAGCUGGCUGCAACUGUUUAUUAAAAACACAGCACUGUGCAAACACGAAAGUGGACGUAUACGGUGUGACGCCUGCCCGGUGCCGGAAGGUUAAUUGAUGGGGUUAUCCGUAAGGAGAAGCUCUUGAUCGAAGCCCCGGUAAACGGCGGCCGUAACUAUAACGGUCCUAAGGUAGCGAAAUUCCUUGUCGGGUAAGUUCCGACCUGCACGAAUGGCGUAAUGAUGGCCAGGCUGUCUCCACCCGAGACUCAGUGAAAUUGAACUCGCUGUGAAGAUGCAGUGUACCCGCGGCAAGACGGAAAGACCCCGUGAACCUUUACUAUAGCUUGACACUGAACAUUGAGCCUUGAUGUGUAGGAUAGGUGGGAGGCUUUGAAGCGUGGACGCCAGUCUGCGUGGAGCCAACCUUGAAAUACCACCCUUUAAUGUUUGAUGUUCUAACGUUGGCCCCUUAUCGGGGUUGCGGACAGUGUCUGGUGGGUAGUUUGACUGGGGCGGUCUCCUCCCAAAGCGUAACGGAGGAGCACGAAGGUUAGCUAAUCCUGGUCGGACAUCAGGAGGUUAGUGCAAUGGCAUAAGCUAGCUUGACUGCGAGCGUGACGGCGCGAGCAGGUGCGAAAGCAGGUCAUAGUGAUCCGGUGGUUCUGAAUGGAAGGGCCAUCGCUCAACGGAUAAAAGGUACUCCGGGGAUAACAGGCUGAUACCGCCCAAGAGUUCAUAUCGACGGCGGUGUUUGGCACCUCGAUGUCGGCUCAUCACAUCCUGGGGCUGAAGUAGGUCCCAAGGGUAUGGCUGUUCGCCAUUUAAAGUGGUACGCGAGCUGGGUUUAGAACGUCGUGAGACAGUUCGGUCCCUAUCUGCCGUGGGCGCUGGAGAAUUGAGGGGGGCUGCUCCUAGUACGAGAGGACCGGAGUGGACGCAUCACUGGUGUUCGGGUUGUCAUGCCAAUGGCACUGCCCGGUAGCUAAAUGCGGAAGAGAUAAGUGCUGAAAGCAUCUAAGCACGAAACUUGCCCCGAGAUGAGUUCUCCCUGAGACUUUAAGUCUCCUGAAGGAACGUUGAAGACGAUGACGUUGAUAGGCCGGGUGUGUAAGCGCAGCGAUGCGUUGAGCUAACCGGUACUAAUGAACCGUGAGGCUUAACCUU
This 2899-nucleotide ribosomal RNA is filed under the name Klebsiella pneumoniae subsp. ozaenae. RNAcentral's name for it is "bacterial LSU rRNA". It matches the Rfam family "Bacterial large subunit ribosomal RNA". The record is from RNAcentral. Lineage: Bacteria; Pseudomonadati; Pseudomonadota; Gammaproteobacteria; Enterobacterales; Enterobacteriaceae.